AAAACAUGGCUCUUUGCUCACAUAAAUAUAAAGAGUCGAGCCUGCCCAGUGAAUUUUUAACGGCCGCGGUACUCUGACCGUGCAAAGGUAGCAUAAUCAUUUGCCUUAUAAUUGAAGGCUAGUAUGAAUGGUUUGACGAGAGCAACACUGUCUCCUUUUUAUUUUCAAGAACUUAACUUUUAGGUGAAGAGGCCUAAAUUUUAUUGAAGGACAAGAAGACCCUGUCGAGCUUAAAAGACAUUAUAGGAGUCUAGUAUAUUUUUAGAUAAAUUUUUCUAUCAAGCUUUUUAGUUGGGGCGACUAAGGAACAAAAAAAGCUUCUUUCCAAUAAUAAACAAUCAUGUUUAGAUCCGAUAAUAGCGAUUAAAGAAAUUAGUUACCGCAGGGAUAACAGCAUAAUCUCUCUUAAGAGACCUAAUCGAAAGAGGGGGUUGUGACCUCGAUGUUGGACUAGAAUAUCCUAAAGAUGCAGA
This 473-nucleotide ribosomal RNA is filed under the name Semisulcospira sp. DLN20150164. RNAcentral describes it as "partial large subunit ribosomal RNA". It matches the Rfam family "Bacterial large subunit ribosomal RNA", at positions 1810 to 2559 of the family's 2925-position model. The record is from RNAcentral. Lineage: Eukaryota; Metazoa; Mollusca; Gastropoda; Semisulcospiridae.